UGGGGAAUAUUGGACAAUGGGGGCAACCCUGAUCCAGCAAUGCCGCGUGUGUGAAGAAGGUCUUCGGAUUGUAAAGCACUUUCGACGGGGACGAUGAUGACGGUACCCGUAGAAGAAGCCCCGGCUAACUUCGUGCCAGCAGCCGCGGUAAUACGAAGGGGGCUAGCGUUGCUCGGAAUGACUGGGCGUAAAGGGCGUGUAGGCGGUUUACACAGUCAGAUGUGAAAUCCCCGGGCUUAACCUGGGAGCUGCAUUUGAUACGUGUAGACUAGAGUGUGAGAGAGGGUUGUGGAAUUCCCAGUGUAGAGGUGAAAUUCGUAGAUAUUGGGAAGAACACCGGUGGCGAAGGCGGCAACCUGGCUCAUGACUGACGCUGAGGCGCGAAAGCGUGGGGAGCAAACAGGAUUAGAUACCCUGGUAGUCCACGCUGUAAACGAUGUGUGCUAGAUGUUGGGUAACUUUGUUAUUCAGUGUCGCAGUUAACGCGUUAAGCACACCGCCUGGGGGAGUACGGGCCG
This 518-nucleotide ribosomal RNA is filed under the name uncultured bacterium. RNAcentral describes it as "partial 16S ribosomal RNA". It matches the Rfam family "Bacterial small subunit ribosomal RNA", at positions 355 to 889 of the family's 1533-position model. The record is from RNAcentral.